CGUAAGUAGUUUACCCUUACAAGAAAGCUAUUUCAUGCUUCUGCCUGGAAGUGGCCACGUGUAUCAUAAUCUAUAUUCUUUUUUUACUACCCAUCGCCGCCGCAAGCGAUGGCGGACUCCGGCGGCGACCUCCGGCGGCGACCUCGCCGGCAUCAUUUGUUCGAUCUCCUAUGAGCCCCUCAACCUCAUCAGCGAGGAUCUUCAAUCGGUCUCCAUCUGCGUCCACGUUUUUCACGAGCUCUGUCUGCGGCAAUGGUUGGAGUACUCUUAGAAAGGGAAGAAGCACACUUGCCCCAUUUGCAAGCAGGGUUGCAGGGCCAGCGACGCUUGCUGGCUCUAUUUUCAGUCAGUGGGAGAUGCGAACGAUAGUGUGAAGCCUCAGAAGAGCUUUGAAUUGGAGGAAGAUGCUGGGCUUCCUGCGUAGGGAGGUGAAUGUUUCGGGGCUUAAUUCUCAGGUUGAAGGGCAAACAAAGGAAUUGGAAGGACUUAAUGAGAAGCUUUGUACUUGCAAGGAGCAGGCAAAGAUAGAGACAGCUUUAAAGAAUGAGGUUUUAAAUAAAAAAGCAUCAAUUCCAGCUUCAAAUGAAAUCAGAGGUGAAAUACUCUGUAGCCUUCUGUUUUAUUUGAGACAAGUUAACUAUUUACAGCCUGAAUUAACUUGUAAAGAUUUAUAUUGAAUUAGGAGCUUGAGAAGUCAACUUUGGAGUGUUUUAGAUUAAAAGAAAGUAAUAUGGCUUUGACUAAAGAACUUGCAGCUUUAAAAUUAUGAGUGGAGCUUCAUUUUGAAUUUUGAUCGAGUAACCAUAUUUUGUUUAUGAUAUAAUUUUUGUUUAUUUUUUUACUUCUUGCUAUGUUGGUUUAUGGCCUGCACCGUAGAGUAUAUCUGAUCUGGACAUUGAUGAAGAGGAGGUUUUGAAGCUUGCCGCUUUGGGUAAGGGGCCAACAGUAAAGACACAGUAGAUAUAUUGAAAAGAUCUCUGGUGGUCAUGCGGAACAGGAGUUAUAAACAAUUGAUGGCCAAGUGCAAUAUUCUUGGAAGAGGUGAGGCUUGGUAUAGCAAAAAGCUUUAGAAGGCUAAAGAGAAGAUCACUAAACUGAAGGAGAGGGUACAAGAACUGGAGACAUUAACUGAAGCAAAAGAGAACGAAUAUCUGAGGUCUGUGAAACUUUCUAAAAUAACAAAGACUUCAAAGAAUCUCGAAGAAAGCAUCAAAUCUGAUUCUGAUACAUUGACAGCUUGCAAACUUUCAUCAAAAGAACAAAGCAACCGAAUUUUGACACCCAAAUCUGGAAUUGACCUGACUGCAAACGACAACAGUAAAUAUUUUCAAUCUUUGAAGAUAUAGAACUCCAAUGUUACUAAAAAUAAGGCUGUGAAUGUUAGUAAUGGAAGUAAAACUACCUUUUCUCUUGAUAUAAAAAGAGAGUAUAUCUCAAUUGAUGAGGAUGAUCCAGAAGGCACUAAUGCUUUGCAAGGAUGUUCAAAACACAACUACAAAGAUCAAGACAGGGAUGAUAUUGCUUUUAGCAAGCCUUCUCUAGUGAAGCUAGAGCCUGUGUCUGGCAUAAAGACUGAAAAAUCAUUGCAAGGAAAAUGUACUUUGGCUGCGUCUCCCAGAGUUGAUAUUGACAUUGGCAUUGACAUGGCUAACAUUUCAGCUGGUGCUAUGGAUGAAGAUGUAACUUUACAAACCAACAUUAAACAACCCGUGGUGAACAUUACAAAGGAGUUACCAUUAACACUUUCAAAUUCAGUGGAUUGCUUGGUCCUGAUGGAACUCAUCGAUACUAGGGUAAAUGGUGCAAACAUUAAGAGAACAGUGAACCAUCAUCUACAAAACAAUCAAGUAAUGGGGAUUUAAUUGCUAUUGGGGCUGAUGGUAGAGGUGGAAGAGUAAAAGUUUUAAGGAUUCCUAGCCAAAUCCUCUCUGUGAGUUCUGUAGUGUUUAAUUUUGAUGGAAUGGUGAUAAGAAAAAUUCACUAAGUUCAAAAAGGUCAAAGUGGUUUGAAAUCCUAGUUGCAAAGAGUAAAGGAAUGCAGAUAGAACAUUUUUUGGGGAGAGUCACUCAGUAAUAUAUUGGUCUGUAUGGGCCUGGUUGUGAUAUCCUUGUUGCAAAGAGGAAAGGAAUGCAUCCUUUGUCACAGAAGAGAAACAAUGGUAGAUUAAAUAAAUUUAUUUUUUGGAAAAGUUUUCAUCACUUUGAAUAAUGAUCUUUGGGGAUUUUAGCUAAACGUGUACGAAAAUCUAGUAAUUGAUUGAUUGCUUGGCUUCAGCAUCUAUUCAAAUGGCAAAGUUGUCCGUUCCUUUCACUUUGCUCCAUUCAGGUCUAUCUUUAACCAAAUUCUGCCCACGUUUGAAACAAUGCAAUUUUAAUGAGCUCAGAUCUGCUUAAAGAAGAUAUCUUUAUGUUUUGAAAUUUGAAGA
Glycine soja is the source of this 2425-nucleotide long non-coding RNA. RefSeq lists it as uncharacterized. The transcript has 7 exons. The record is from RefSeq and is a predicted model, not a curated record. Lineage: Eukaryota; Viridiplantae; Streptophyta; Magnoliopsida; Fabales; Fabaceae.